ACCUGGAUGAACGACGGUUUCUUCUAGACUUAGAAUUUGUGCAGUGCCUCGCCAAUCCCGGUUACUUAAAAUUUUUGGCGCUUCACGAAUCCAAAUUUUUUGACGAUGAAAGAUUUGUUGAGUAUCUGAAAUACUUACUGUACUGGAAGCAACCAGAAUACUGCAAAUUCAUAAUCUAUCCGCAUAGCUUAUUCAUGUUAGAUGCCCUCCAAUAUGAAGAAUUUAGGUCGAGCUUAAAGCUGCCGUCCGUAAUUUCCUGCAUUUACGAACAACAGCAACUUCACUGGAAACAUUAUCGUUUGAACAGAAUGAGAACAAGAGCUAAGUCGGAUGAACUUACACCUUUGCAGCCUUCGGCUACUUAAGAAAUUCAAGAAUAUCUCUACGUUACAGUCCUUUUCA
Molecule: long non-coding RNA, 402 nt
Organism: Schistocerca gregaria
Lineage: Eukaryota; Metazoa; Arthropoda; Insecta; Orthoptera; Acrididae
Exons: 3
Source: RefSeq, a predicted model, not a curated record